Heterocephalus glaber (naked mole-rat) is the source of this 92-nucleotide small nuclear RNA. Its record names the gene U2. It matches the Rfam family "U2 spliceosomal RNA". From Rfam's summary of the family: U2 is a small nuclear RNA (snRNA) component of the spliceosome (involved in pre-mRNA splicing). Complementary binding between U2 snRNA (in an area lying towards the 5' end but 3' to hairpin I) and the branchpoint sequence (BPS) of the intron results the bulging out of an unpaired adenosine, on the BPS, which initiates a nucleophilic attack at the intronic 5' splice site, thus starting the first of two transesterification reactions that mediate splicing. Lineage: Eukaryota; Metazoa; Chordata; Mammalia; Rodentia; Bathyergidae. The record is from Ensembl.
AUCGCUUCUCGGCCUUUUGGCUAAGAUCAAGUGUAAAAGUUACUAAUUGAGUGCUCCCCAUUUAGAUUACUUUUUUUUUUUUAAGAUUCCUU